Molecule: long non-coding RNA, 2739 nt
Filed under: Gallus gallus (chicken)
Lineage: Eukaryota; Metazoa; Chordata; Aves; Galliformes; Phasianidae
Source: RNAcentral
GCUUUGGGGCGGUGCUGCUAUGGGGUGGCUGUCACAGUGGGAAAGAACAGCACGGUGGAAAGGCGAUACAGGAGAGGAAUGGCAAAGGGACAAACAGGAAAGGAACGCUCAGCGGUCUGCGAACAUCUCGGCUCACGGGGAGAUACCCCCCCAGGGAGGGAUCUCCACGCACAGAGCCUUCCCAGCCGCUCUCAGCCCUUCCAUGAGGUCUCAGAGCAGUGCGGGCAGGCUCCGCCCCUCCCGCUCACACCGCUGCACCGCCUCCAGCUGUGCCGCCAGGGCUGCCCGCUCCUUUCCCAGGUGCUCCAUCGCUGGGUCAAGCCGGGACUCGGCAGCUCCCAUUGGGGCACGAAGAGGCCGAGGCGGCCGACGGCAAACGGCGACCGUCCCGCGGGAACCGCGAGACACGGGAGAGGAUCUCAGCCGUCGGCCGGGCGGCGCUUCGCCCACGGGGACAGCGGGCAGCAACCGCGGGAAACGCGGCCCGGUGCGUCCGCAGGCCGUGAAGCAGCGCAGGAAGCGCAGGGACACGGCGGGGAACGACCCCGGCGGACUGAGCGGCGCUCCGCUGUGGGACGUCAUCACGGCCCGCCGCGGCGCCCGGUGAUGACAUCACAUCCGGCCUGGAGCGGAAGCGCAGUGUGGACGGGCGUGGAAAGGGAGGGGGCUGAUGGAGAAAGAAUGGCGGUGCUUCCGUGCCUGGGGCAGCGCUCCCGUCCCGUCCCACAGCGCUGCGGGAAGCGAUGGCAGCGGCUGCAAUAGAGCACGCUUUGCUUACUGCAAACUCCGCGUCUUUACGAUGGGCAGCGGCUUGGCAGGAUGGGCAGAGAAAGAAAUCGAAGGAGUCCCGAAGGCGUGUGACUCCCUGAAGGUAUUGGCCAGUGCAGAUCCUGUGAAGGUUGUGGCUGUGCAGAGGCCUCUUCUGCACGGAGGCACUGGGUGAGCUGCCAGCAGCUUCCAUUGCUGCCCAGCUAAGCGUACCCGAAGUCAUGGGCUGUACCUGAAGGGGGCCUCCAGGAAAGCUGGGAUGGGGCUGUUUUGUAAGGGCGUGGAGCGACAGGAGGAGGGGAAAUGGCUUUAGAGUGGAAGAGGGUGGAUUUAGACAGUGGAGCAGGUUGUGGAUGCCCCCGCCCUGUGAGCAGCCUGGUGUGGUGGGAGGUGUCCCUGCCUCCAGCCGGGGAUGGAAGUGAAUGGUCUGAAAGGUCCCUUCCAACCCAAACCAUUCUAUGGUUCUUUGUAAACUGCAGGGAAUUGCAGAGGAGAAUGGCUUUAAGAAGCCAAUAGCACUAGAGAUGCAGCGUGCAGUUCAGAGAGCACCUCUGUGCAGUGAGGUCAGAGAGUGCCUGAAACAAUACGACCUGGACAGAGAGUGGCUCAGAAUGAUGACAGAAUCAUAGAGGCACAGGGCUGGAAAGGACCUACAGGAUCAUCCCGUCCAACUGUCCUCCUAUCACCAUCACCACCGCUGAGCUCCUCAGCCUCAUCUCGUAGCACCUCAUCCACAAUGUCAGUGGUUUAUGGGCUGGUUCGGCCCGGUUCCGUGAGUAGCGGGGCAGAGGGACCCGCGGAUCGACACCCCAGAAAAGGGGAACAGGGAAAAGGAUAGCGAGAUGGGCCCAAAAACAACACAGCAGCAACGAUCUGAGGAGAAACAAAGUAAUUGACUAGAAACAACAUCGGGCUGCAAGAUAAUACACUGUAAUACAACAGCAGCACUGGCACAAGGUUGGUGGUGAUGGGAUGUCUCAUUGUGGGUGCACCUUUUGCUUCCAGAGGACGUAGUGGUCAGCUCUGCUGCAGACCCAGUGCUUGUGUAGGUGGCACAGGGAUGAGCUGAUCCUGUCCCCGUUCAGGUAUGCACAUCGGCCUCCACCUCGCAGCUCAAACCUGUGCCCAAGAGGGAGGAGAAUGGGAAAGGUGCCCCAAUCUGCUGAGAAAAGCUGGGGCUGCCUCUCCUGGGGAAGGAAGGGCAGAAAGGGCUCAUGGUGGAGCACCAAGCCUGAGCCUGGCGGGCCACGGUAAACCACGGCUGUGGCACCAGGAGAAGGUCCCCAUCCCAAAGAGAGCCCGUGGGAAGUCAUGGCCUGGACAGCUGGACAGACAAACUGACCAGUUGGUGAAGGCUGUGCCAUCGCUCCAUGUCCACUGGGCGUCCUCUUCUUCCCUGUGCAGCCCGAUCCAACAGUUUGCCGGGCCCUGGAAGCGCAUCAUGAAAUCCUUUAAAGGAAGAGAGUGUUGAAUGUCAGGAGGUUUUAACAUCUGUCCCACUCACAUCUCAGGCUCCAGCAGGCUGCAAGGCGCUGCCUUCUGCUGCAUGGAAGAAGCUUUUUUGUGCUUCCAUGGCACAAGAGCUGCCCCCAGAGGUGCACAUCUCAGGACAUCCCCCAGGUGGAUGCGGGAGGGGUUAGGGGCAGUAACAUGCCGCUGUCCCUCCCCAGCCUGGUGCCUUCCUCAGAGCUUUGGGCUCAUGUCCCCAUCUCACCAUCUCCUCCGCACUGCCUAUGGUGACCAGGGAAGCUCCGUGGGCAUUGCAGUGCUCCCUGCUGCUGUUCCAAUCAUUCUCCUCCUUCGAAAAAUAAUAGCAUUUCCCCUGGAAUCCGACCCAGGCGUUGUGAAUAGUGUGGAUAUUAUUACGGGCUGGGAAGGAUGUUGUAAGGCUGCUGUGUUACGAUAAGAGAGCCACAGCAGAAGAAAAGCAGAGAUAACAAGCAUGAGAGAAGCCAAGGCGUGCACACAGGG